Pelobates cultripes (western spadefoot toad) is the source of this 353-nucleotide non-coding RNA. Lineage: Eukaryota; Metazoa; Chordata; Amphibia; Anura; Pelobatidae. The record is from the annotation of a GenBank genome assembly.
CUUAUCUUAUAGUUAGGAUAGCCUUAUGCCUAUCCCACGUUCCACAAAUUUCUACAGUCAGGUUCUCCAGUCAAACAGUAGAAAACAUUAAAAUGUAGAUUUAAUUCAUGGACAAACUUCAACUGUGCCAAAAUUUAUGGGGAACGAUGAGUUAAACUGCAUGAAUAACUAGUUUGAUAUGUGUGUACACUGCAUGAAUAACUAGUUUGAUAUGUGUGUUCUUAUGUAUAUAUUCAUUCUCAACUUCACAGGUUGGAUGCAAUGUCUAUCAUUUCAAACCAACCUGGCUAUUGGCCCAAAAUUAAGUGUGGCUCUUCAUCCUUCAUGAAAUGCAUUCUUACAUUGCAGCCAGU